UGGGGUGUAGUCUAAUGGCAGGACAGCGGUUUCUGGUGCCGUACGUGAGGGUUCGACUCCUUCCACCCCAG
The sequence is a transfer RNA, 71 nucleotides long. It matches the Rfam family "tRNA". From Rfam's summary of the family: Transfer RNA (tRNA) molecules are approximately 80 nucleotides in length. Their secondary structure includes four short double-helical elements and three loops (D, anti-codon, and T loops).